GAUGAAGAACGUAGCGAAAUGCGAUACUUGGUGUGAAUUGCAGAAUCCCGUGAACCAUCGAGUCUUUGAACGCAAGUUGCGCCCGAAGCCACUAGGCCGAGGGCACGCCUGCCUGGGCGUCACACGCCGUUGCCCCCCCAUCUACUCCUUCGGGAUUGCGGGGGGGCGGAUGAUGGCCUCCUGUGCGCCUAGCCGCGCGGUUGGCAUAAAUACCAAGUCCUCGGCGACGCACGCCACGACAAUCGGUGGUUGCGAAACCUCGGUUGCCCGUCGUGUGCGUUCGUCGCGCAUCGAGGGCUCGAAAAAAUGCUCGGCUCCGGCUGGGCUUUCAACGCGACCCCAGGUCAGGCGGGGUUACCCGCUGAAUUUAAGCAUAUCAAUAACGGAGGA
This 390-nucleotide unclassified non-coding RNA is filed under the name soil metagenome. Its description in RNAcentral is "partial contains 5.8S ribosomal RNA, internal transcribed spacer 2, and large subunit ribosomal RNA". The stretch from base 1 to 122 matches the Rfam family "5.8S ribosomal RNA", at positions 35 to 154 of the family's 154-position model. The record is from RNAcentral.